This 413-nucleotide ribosomal RNA is filed under the name Panesthia angustipennis spadica. RNAcentral's name for it is "partial 16S rRNA". The record is from RNAcentral. Lineage: Eukaryota; Metazoa; Arthropoda; Insecta; Blattodea; Blaberidae.
UUACGCUGUUAUCCCUAAGGUAAUUUAAUCUUUUAAUCACUAAAAAUGGAUCAAAAAAAUAUUAAUCUAUAAUCAACUAAUAUAAAGAGUUAAUUAUAUCUUCACAUCACCCCAACGAAAUACUUAAUUUACUCCACAAAACAUCAAAUAAUAUAAAAUAUAUUAAAUAUUAAACUCUAUAGGGUCUUCUCGUCCCAAAAAAAAAUUUGAGCUUUUUAACACAAUAAUUAAAUUCAAACCCAUAAAUUUAAGAAAGUUAUUAUCUCGUCCAACCAUUCAUUCCAGCCUACAAUUAAAAGACUAAUGAUUAUGCUACCUUUGCACGGUCAGUAUACCGCGGCCAUUUAAAUAUUCAUUGAGCAGGUUAUACCUCAUAUUCAAAUACAAGAAGAGAUGUUUUUGUUAAACAGGCG